CAAGAUGAGACUUCCCAUCACUUCGAGUGAGUAAGAUCCCUCAGAGACGAUGAGGUUGAUAGGUCCGAGGUGGAAGCGUGGUGACACGUGGAGCUGACGGAUACUAAUAGAUCGAGGACUUAACUAAUAU
RNAcentral lists this ribosomal RNA (130 nucleotides) under Halomonas sp. MG34. Its description in RNAcentral is "partial 23S ribosomal RNA". It matches the Rfam family "Bacterial large subunit ribosomal RNA", at positions 2800 to 2925 of the family's 2925-position model. The record is from RNAcentral. Lineage: Bacteria; Pseudomonadati; Pseudomonadota; Gammaproteobacteria; Oceanospirillales; Halomonadaceae.